UACGUAGGUGGCAAGCGUUGUCCGGAAUACUGGGCGUAAAGCGUGCGCAGGCGGUUCGUUGUGUCGGCGGUGAAAGCCCCGGGCUUAACCUGGGAAUGGCCGUUGAAACUGGCGAACUGGAGUGUGGCAGAGGGGGGGGUGGAAUUCCGCGUGUAGCAGUGAAAUGCGUAGAGAUGCGGAGGAACACCGAUGGCGAAGGCAGCCCCCUGGGCUAACACUGACGCUCAGGCACGAAAGCGUGGGGAGCAAACAGG
Molecule: ribosomal RNA, 254 nt
Filed under: uncultured bacterium
Lineage: Bacteria
Description: partial 16S ribosomal RNA
Rfam family: Bacterial small subunit ribosomal RNA
Source: RNAcentral